GCUUGUCUCAAAGAUUAAGCCAUGCAUGUCUAAGUAUAAGCCUUUACACGGUGAGACUGCGAAUGGCUCAUUAAAUCAGAAACUGUUUAUUUGAUAGUGCCUACUACUUGGAUAACCGUAGUAAUUCUAGAGCUAAUACAUGCAAAAAGCCUGGACUUCUGGAACAGGCGUAUUUAUUAGAUAUACAAACCAACCGCUUCGGCGACCUUGGGUGACUCAUAAUAACUUCGCGAAUCGUAUGCUUCGGCGACGAUGAUUCAUUCAAGUUUCUGCCCUAUCAGCUUUCGAUGGUAGUGUAUUGGACUACCAUGGCAGUAACGGGUAACGAAGAAUUAGGGUUCGAUUUCGGAGAGGGAGAAACGGCUACCACAUCUAAGGAAGGCAGCAGG
Molecule: ribosomal RNA, 389 nt
Filed under: uncultured Telonemia
Lineage: Eukaryota; Telonemia
Description: partial small subunit ribosomal RNA
Rfam family: Eukaryotic small subunit ribosomal RNA
Source: RNAcentral